This 497-nucleotide ribosomal RNA is filed under the name bacterium enrichment culture clone Pav-FEB-Bd19-C2. RNAcentral describes it as "bacterial SSU rRNA". It matches the Rfam family "Bacterial small subunit ribosomal RNA", at positions 8 to 524 of the family's 1533-position model. The record is from RNAcentral.
AGAGUUUGAUCCUGGCUCAGAGUGAACGCUGGCGGCGUGCUUAACACAUGCAAGUCGAACGGACUUAAGGGGCUUGCUUCUUAAGUUAGUGGCGCACGGGUGAGUAAUAUAUAGCUAACCUGCCCUUUAGUGGGGGACAACAGUUGGAAACGGCUGCUAAUACCCUAUACUCCUUCUUGCCUUAAGGUGAGUCGGGAAAGAUUUAUCGCUAAAGGAUGGGGCUUUAUUGUAUCAGCUAGUUGGUGAGGUAAUGGCUCACCAAGGCUAUGACGCAUACCUGGUCUGAGAGGAUGAUCAGGCACACUGGAACUGAGACACGGUCCAGACUCCUACGGGAGGCAGCAGUGGGGAAUAUUGCACAAUGGACGCAAGUCUGAUGCAGCAACGCCGCGUGGAGGAUGACGCAUUUCGGUGUGUAAACUCCUUUUAUAGGGGAAGAUAAUGACGGUACCCUAUGAAUAAGCACCGGCUAACUCCGUGCCAGCAGCCGCGGUAAU